AACGAACGCUGGCGGCAGGCUUAACACAUGCAAGUCGAGCGCCCCGCAAGGGGAUCGGCAGACGGGUGAGUAACGCGUGGGAACGUACCUUUUGGUUCGGAACAACUCCGGGAAACUGGAGCUCAUACCGGAUAAGCCCUAACGGGGAAAGAUUUAUCGCCGAAGGAUCGGCCCGCGUCUGAUUAGCUAGUUGGUGAGGUAACGGCUCACCAAGGCGACGAUCAGUAGCUGGUCUGAGAGGAUGAUCAGCCACACUGGGACUGAGACACGGCCCAGACUCCUACGGGAGGCAGCAGUGGGGAAUAUUGGACAAUGGGCGCAAGCCUGAUCCAGCCAUGCCGCGUGAGUGAUGAAGGCCUUAGGGUUGUAAAGCUCUUUUGUCCGGGAAGAUAAUGACUGUACCGGAAGAAUAAGCCCCGGCUAACUUCGUG
RNAcentral lists this ribosomal RNA (431 nucleotides) under uncultured bacterium. RNAcentral's name for it is "partial 16S ribosomal RNA". It matches the Rfam family "Bacterial small subunit ribosomal RNA", at positions 29 to 507 of the family's 1533-position model. The record is from RNAcentral.